AGGAUGGAGCAAGCACAGUACUCCAAGGCACCAGAGAGGUACUCCACACCACCAUGUAGGGGAUGGCUACAUAAGGCAAGAAGGCAGAGGUAUGGGGAAGUUUAACUCUGAACAUGAAGGUUUACCGUGCACGGCCAGAGAGAAGUCUCUGGAACUCUAGUAUCCCCCGAAAUAGGCCUAUCCUUUGAGGGGUUUAGAAAGAGUGCCUGACUGGAGCUGUGACUCGUGCCUGAUCAGUACAGGUACCCGGGCUUAAAUUUCGAACUCUGGAGGUACGUACACAUUACAGUCAGUGCUUAAAAGGAAACUGUUAACAGUACGGUGGUUGGACCACUGUGUUCAACACUGGUGUAGGGUGUAUCUCGCGACAGGGCUUGAGGUACCGGGGUGACUGGUGGUGGCUUGACGGCCGCUCCAUUGUGUUCACUCUGGAUCCGGCGUCUUCGCCGCGCUUGGGUUUGCUGGGUUUAAUUAUGGGUAAGUGCGGCAAUAAGUCUUUGCCGGUUUCUCGUCUUUACGAUGGGCCAGCAAAGAUAUUGUCUGGUGUUUAUGGUACAUGGACAUGUGAACAAAUGUUUCUUUGAGUGUUAUUAGGGUUUCCGGCGACUGCCGUUUUCGUUUCGGUGAUGGAUGCGCGGCCUGCCGGGCUGAUUGGAGGUAGAUGGCCGUGGUAACGUAUGGAAGUUGCAGGAGGCGUAAUGUGACAUUGUUUGGAAGGCAUAGGCUACGGUGUGUAGAACGUGUUGACUGAUGGAAGCUUUGGGAUAGUUGUGUGGGGUGAAUUGAUCUGUGUUGUAGCCCUUUUCGUUCAGGUUGUCCUCUCUGACCGCCCCCACCCCCCCCGCUGCUUCUUGGAGGUUUGCGUGGUCCCAACAUUUCCCUGCCAUUGACGUAGCCAACCCCCGCCGGAGGCCGAACUGGCUCCCGUUUGGUUUUGCUCAAUGGACCUUUUCGUUGUCCGUGGUGGUGUUCGCUUUCCUUUGGAAGUAUUGAGCUUGUCUACACGGGUCAAGAAAAUGUC
Esox lucius (northern pike) is the source of this 1021-nucleotide long non-coding RNA. RefSeq lists it as uncharacterized. The record is from RefSeq and is a predicted model, not a curated record. The transcript has 3 exons. Lineage: Eukaryota; Metazoa; Chordata; Actinopteri; Esociformes; Esocidae.